GCGUGGAGGAAGAAGGUUUUCGGAUUGUAAACCCCUGUCGUUAGGGACGAUAAUGACGGUACCUAACAAGAAAGCACCGGCUAACUACGUGCCAGCAGCCGCGGUAAAACGUAGGGUGCAAGCGUUGUCCGGAAUUACUGGGUGUAAAGGGAGCGCAGGCGGACCGGCAAGUUGGAAGUGAAAUCCAUGGGCUCAACCCGUGAAUUGCUUUCAAAACUGCUGGCCUUGAGUAGUGCAGAGGUAGGUGGAAUUCCCGGUGUAGCGGUGGAAUGCGUAGAUAUCGGGAGG
This 288-nucleotide ribosomal RNA is filed under the name uncultured bacterium. Its description in RNAcentral is "partial 16S ribosomal RNA". It matches the Rfam family "Bacterial small subunit ribosomal RNA", at positions 399 to 704 of the family's 1533-position model. The record is from RNAcentral.